This 427-nucleotide ribosomal RNA is filed under the name uncultured bacterium. RNAcentral's name for it is "bacterial SSU rRNA". It matches the Rfam family "Bacterial small subunit ribosomal RNA", at positions 355 to 776 of the family's 1533-position model. The record is from RNAcentral.
UCGGGAAUUUUGGGCAAUGGGCGAAAGCCUGACCCAGCAACGCCGCGUGAAGGAUGAAAUCCCUCGGGAUGUAAACUUCGCAAGAACGGGGAGAAUAAGCCGGUGUUAACAUCACCGGCGAUGACGGUACCGUUUGUAAGCUCCGGCUAACUCCGUGCCAGCAGCCGCGGUAAUACGGGGGGAGCAAGCGUUGUUCGGAUUUACUGGGCGUAAAGGGCGCGUAGGCGGCCACCGCAAGUCAAUUGUGAAAUCUCCGGGCUUAACUCGGAAAGGUCAACUGAUACUGCGGGGCUAGAGUGCGGAAGGGGCAACUGGAAUUCUCGGUGUAGCGGUGAAAUGCGUAGAUAUCGAGAGGAACACCUGCGGCGAAGGCGGGUUGCUGGGCCGACACUGACGCUGAGGCGCGAAAGCUAGGGGAGCGAACGGG